AAUUUCGUCUUUCCUAUUGCAGGUUCAUUCCAGCUCAGUGUGGUAAUCUGCAGCAAUCAAGUUAACAAAUCUUAGUUGAAGUAUGUGUUCUAAAUUUUCGGUGGUGAUUUUUUUGUGACUAGACCAAAUCAAAACUGAAGUAUGUAUUCUGAAUUUUGUUCAUAUGACUAGAUGCAUAUGAACUGAAGCUCCGUCAUUCUUUCUAAGGUGAUAGUGGUCGCAACCAGCUAAAAUUAGGGGCUAUAAAGGAACUAUAAAAAAUAUUUGAACUGCUGGCAAUGUCGAUGUAAACACGGGCAUUUAACCAGCAGAUUUUGAUUUAACUAUAACUAUCUAUUGACACAAGGCUAAAAAAAGAGUGGAAUUGAUUUGUAAGCAAUUCUUCUUGAGAUAGACUUUCUGGGUAGUUUGUUGCAAGUAUAUAACCUGGAACUUCAGUUCGAGAUAUACAACUGACAAUCUAUGAUCACUACGACAAUUUAGAUUGGUUAGCAAAAUUUCUUAGGCGGUGAGACUUAUGCAAGUAGCUAAGGCUACAAAUAGAUGAGCAUUGGCCAUGAUUAGCAGCACCGCAUCAGGAGGGCAUUCGUCCUGGAAGUGUGGUCGGGGCUGACUGGGGAUGAUUAUUUUUUCGGUGGUAAGGGAUGAUUGAACACAUGUGAGUGUCUUCUCAACUUGGCGUUGCUUCUAAUGUGUUGGACACUGAUCCAAGUUUGCAGUGAGCUGAGAUGCAUCUUUGAAAAUCUCAGCAGAGAGAUGCUAAUUCUCCAUGAUUAUUAACUUGAUGUCGGAAAUCUUAAUUUCGUCUUUCCUAUUGCAGGUUUAUUCCAGCUCGAUGUGGUAAUCUGCAGCAAUCAAGUUAACAAAUCUUAACUGAAGUAUGUGUUCUAAAUUGCCGGUGGUGAUUUUUUUUCUGACGAGACCAAAACAAACUGAAGUAUGCAUUCUGAAUUUUGUUCAUAUGACUAGAUGCAUAUGAACUGAAGCUCAGUCAUUCUUUCUAAGGUGAUAGUGGUUGCAACCAGUUAAGAUUAGGGGCUUUAAAGGAACUAUAAAAAAUAUGUGAACUGCUGGCAAUGUCGAUGUAAACACGGGCAUUUAACCAGCAAAUUUCGAUUUAACAAUAACUAUCUGUUGACACAAGGCUAAAAAAAGAGUAGAAUUGAUUUGUAAGCAAUUCUUCUUGAGAUAGAGACUUUCUGGGUAGUUUGCUACAAGUAUAUAACCUGGAACUUCAGUUCGAGAUAUACAACCGGCAAUCUAAGAUCACUACGACAAUCUAGAUAGGUUAGCAAAAUUUCUUAGGCGGUGAGACUUAUGCAAGUAGCUAAGACUACAAAUAGAUGAGUGUUGGCCAUGAUUAGCAGCACCACAUCAGGAGGGCAUUCGUCCUAGAAGUGUGGUCGGGGCCGACUGGGGAUGAUUAUUUUUUCGUGGGCAAGGUAUGAUUGAACACAGGUGAGUGUCUUCUCAACUUGGUGUUGCUUCUAAUGUGUUGGACACUGAUCCAAUUCUGCGGCGAGCUGAGAUGCAUCUUUGAAAAUCUCCUGAGAGGUCUGAAUUAGUCCAAGCCUAUGCAGAAUGCCUACAUAUGCCACUUGAACUUUGGAGGGGUAGACUGAUGGAUCGUUGGGCUGGGAUGAAGUUUCAUAUAGUGUGUUUUGUCACGAGAAGAAAUGCAAACGAAAACACAAUUACCUUACAUUGUUAAUGUAUAUGGUAUGAAGAAAACGGAACUUGUUUUACCUCUUUUUUUUUUCUAAUUUGUAACUCUUCUUACCUAUAUUUGGCAGAGGUACAAUGGUUAUUGACUUGUACUCCCUCCGUUCCAAAAUAGAUGACCCAAAAGGGAGUACGUUCUAUUUCUGACCCAACAAAUCUAAUAUGCAAGGAUAACAAUAAAAUCAGAAUGAUCAAAAGUUAAAACACAUGUGCAUGCUUCAUGAGUUAUGUAUACUUCUGAAUCUAUUUUUACCUCUACUAUCUGAUACGUUGAAUAGUGCAUGCUCUGCUCUUGCAUGCCACAUCUGCCUGUACUAUGCUGUUAUUUAUGAUUUCGGGGGAACUGAUAUCUUGAUUAUAGGAAGUGGAGAGGAAAACCCCUGAUCAGUAGGGAGUACAGGAUAACGUGGUCCAGCUCACCAUCCUAGGCUGCAGGCUGGUUUGGUAACAAGCGGAGACAGACUAAGGAAAAGGUGCCAAUGAUGGAGGUGUGUGUAGACAUGGAAGACCUUGCCACUAAGAGCUUCUUGCGAGGGCAAGAGGUAAACUGACGCUGAGUGUUGUGAUCUGUGGGGAGUAGUGUGAGGUGUCCAGUGAAGGGACAUGAUUCAGGCAAGUAACUGUUACUAUAGGAAAAGUCCCUUUGUACACUAAGUCCCUUUAAAGUGAUGUGCAUAGCACAAUAAAAUAGGAAAAGUUUAACCUUUGUUUUAGUUUGAUUUUCUCGGCUAUACUAUAUUUGGUUUUCCUUUAUGUUUUCUGAGGUUGCAAAAGCCUUUGUAGCGAUCAAAGAUGAGGAGCAACAAUCAUUGUUAUUGCACCGUGUGUAUUUUUCCUCACUUCUAAAUAAGAAAUUCAGUACGGUAUCAUCUUUCGUGGUAGGUGAGAACAACAUUAUUUGUAAA
This 2627-nucleotide long non-coding RNA is filed under the name Triticum aestivum (bread wheat). RNAcentral's name for it is "long non-coding RNA (TAES_LNC016395)". Lineage: Eukaryota; Viridiplantae; Streptophyta; Magnoliopsida; Poales; Poaceae. The record is from RNAcentral.